CCCUUAGAUGUCCUGGGCCGCACGCGCGCUACACUGAGUGUCUGAGAUACGAGUCUGCCUGGUCCGGCAAGGUCUAGGUAAUCGCUAAAAGACACAUCAUGCUUGGGAUAGAUUAUUGCAAAUAUUAAUCUUUAACGAGGAAUUCCUAGUAAGCGCAAGUCAACAGCUUGCGUUGAUUACGUCCCUGCCCUUUGUACACACCGCCCGUCGCUACUACUGAUUGGAUGUUUAAGCGAGGUUCUCGAACUGCUAGCGACUUAGCUUCGGUGAGGUCGCAGUGUGGGAAGUGAACCUAGCUUUGGUGUCUAGAGGAAGUAAAAGUCGUAACA
This 329-nucleotide ribosomal RNA is filed under the name uncultured eukaryote. Its description in RNAcentral is "partial 18S ribosomal RNA". It matches the Rfam family "Eukaryotic small subunit ribosomal RNA", at positions 1470 to 1796 of the family's 1831-position model. The record is from RNAcentral.